RNAcentral lists this ribosomal RNA (254 nucleotides) under uncultured bacterium. RNAcentral's name for it is "partial 16S ribosomal RNA". It matches the Rfam family "Bacterial small subunit ribosomal RNA", at positions 524 to 776 of the family's 1533-position model. The record is from RNAcentral.
UACGUAGGGUGCAAGCGUUAAUCGGAAUUACUGGGCGUAAAGCGUGCGCAGGCGGCGCGUUAAGACAGGUGUGAAAGCCCCCGAGCUUAACUUGGGAAUUGCGCUUGUGACUGGCGUGCUGGAGUGUGGCAGAGGGAGGUGGAAUUCCACGUGUAGCAGUGAAAUGCGUAGAGAUGUGGAGGAACACCGAUGGCGAAGGCAGCCUCCUGGGCCAGCACUGACGCUCAUGCACGAAAGCGUGGGGAGCAAACAGG